This 171-nucleotide non-coding RNA is filed under the name human gut metagenome. RNAcentral describes it as "Lysine riboswitch". It matches the Rfam family "Lysine riboswitch aptamer". From Rfam's summary of the family: Riboswitches are metabolite binding domains within certain messenger RNAs that serve as precision sensors for their corresponding targets. Allosteric rearrangement of mRNA structure is mediated by ligand binding, and this results in modulation of gene expression. The record is from RNAcentral.
ACGAUAGAGGCGCAGUUAUCAAGAGUAACCGCGGUGGAAGAGGCGUUCGCAGCGCCGUUGCCGCCGGUGAAAGGGGUCGCUGCCGAAGUGGGGCCGGCGAAGCUCUGCUGGGCAAACGGAAAACAUCCGUUUGACUGUCGCAUUUGCGGAGUGCUUGCGGAGUGCUAUGGU